CGUGCACUGGUGGGGUCCCUCAGCCUGGCCUGUGCCCUCUUGUAAUUCAGGACCCUUCGGAGGAUGUCGGAGAGCCAGUUUCGGCCUGAUCCCCACAGGCCAGGCUGAGGGACCCCACCAAUGCACA
RNAcentral lists this microRNA precursor (127 nucleotides) under Myotis brandtii (Brandt's bat). Its description in RNAcentral is "mir-9193 microRNA precursor family". It matches the Rfam family "mir-9193 microRNA precursor family". Lineage: Eukaryota; Metazoa; Chordata; Mammalia; Chiroptera; Vespertilionidae. The record is from Rfam by way of RNAcentral.